ACGCUGGCGGCAUGCCUCAUACAUGCAAGUCGAACGAGGUCUUCGGACCUAGUGGCGCACGGGUGAGUAACAUGUGGGAAUCUACCUGAAGGUUCGGAAUAACUGCGGGAAACUGUAGCUAAUACCGGAUGUGUCUGCAAAGAGAAAGAUUUAUCGCCUUCAGAUGAGCCCGCACUAGAUUAGCUAGUUGGUGAGGUAAUUGCUCCACCAAGGCUGCGAUCUAUAGCUGAUUUGAGAGGAUGAUCAGCCACACUGGGACUGAGACACGGCCCAGACUCCUACGGGAGGCAGCAGUAGGGAAUAUUGGACAAUGGGGGAAACCCUGAUCCAGCAAUGCCGCGUGAGUGAAGAAGGCCUUCGGGUUGUAAAACUCUUUCAUCAAUGAUGAUAAUGACAUUAGUUGAAGAAGAAGCUCCGGCUAACUUCGUGCCAGCAGCCGCGGUAAUACGAAGGGGGCUAGCGUUGUUCGGAAUCACUGGGCGUAAAGCGUAUGUAGGCGGAUCAAAAAGUUAGAUGUGAAAUCCCUGGGCUCAACCCAGGAACUGCAUUUAAAACUAGUGAUCUAGAAUUUGGUAGGGGUUAGUAGAAUUUCCAGUGUAGAGGUGAAAUUCGUAGAUAUUGGAAAGAAUACCAGUGGCGAAGGCGACUAACUGGGCCAUUUUUGACGCUGAGAUACGAAAGCGUGGGUAGCAAACAGGAUUAGAUACCCUGGUAGUCCACGCAGUAAACGAUGAGUGCUAGUCGCUGGGACAAUAGUUUCAGUGUCGAAGCUAACGCAUUAAGCACUCCGCCUGGGAAGUACGGU
RNAcentral lists this ribosomal RNA (805 nucleotides) under uncultured Alphaproteobacteria bacterium. Its description in RNAcentral is "bacterial SSU rRNA". It matches the Rfam family "Bacterial small subunit ribosomal RNA", at positions 33 to 886 of the family's 1533-position model. Lineage: Bacteria; Pseudomonadati; Pseudomonadota; Alphaproteobacteria. The record is from RNAcentral.